This 73-nucleotide transfer RNA is filed under the name Fasciola hepatica (liver fluke). RNAcentral's name for it is "tRNA-Ala". The record is from RNAcentral. Lineage: Eukaryota; Metazoa; Platyhelminthes; Trematoda; Plagiorchiida; Fasciolidae.
ACCGCGGUACCUCAGUUGGCAGAGCAUCUUCCCGGCAUGUGGACUGUCGCCGAUUCGGUUCCGGCUCGCGGCG